UACGUAGGGUGCGAGCGUUGUCCGGAAUUAUUGGGCGUAAAGAGCUCGUAGGCGGUGUGUCGCGUCGGCCGUGAAAACCUGGGGCUUAACUCUGGGCGUGCGGUCGAUACGGGCAUCACUAGAGUUCGGCAGGGGAGACUGGAAUUCCUGGUGUAGCGGUGAAAUGCGCAGAUAUCAGGAGGAACACCCGUGGCGAAGGCGGCUCUCUGGGACGGUACUGACGCUGAGACGCGAAAGCGUGGGGAGCGAACAGG
RNAcentral lists this ribosomal RNA (254 nucleotides) under uncultured bacterium. RNAcentral describes it as "partial 16S ribosomal RNA". It matches the Rfam family "Bacterial small subunit ribosomal RNA", at positions 524 to 776 of the family's 1533-position model. The record is from RNAcentral.